This 693-nucleotide ribosomal RNA is filed under the name Escherichia coli. RNAcentral describes it as "partial 23S ribosomal RNA". It matches the Rfam family "Bacterial large subunit ribosomal RNA", at positions 2109 to 2801 of the family's 2925-position model. The record is from RNAcentral. Lineage: Bacteria; Pseudomonadati; Pseudomonadota; Gammaproteobacteria; Enterobacterales; Enterobacteriaceae.
GCUUGACACUGAACAUUGAGCCUUGAUGUGUAGGAUAGGUGGGAGGCUUUGAAGUGUGGACGCCAGUCUGCAUGGAGCCGACCUUGAAAUACCACCCUUUAAUGUUUGAUGUUCUAACGUUGACCCGUGAUCCGGGUUGCGGACAGUGUCUGGUGGGUAGUUUGACUGGGGCGGUCUCCUCCUAAAGAGUAACGGAGGAGCACGAAGGUUGGCUAAUCCUGGUCGGACAUCAGGAGGUUAGUGCAAUGGCAUAAGCCAGCUUGACUGCGAGCGUGACGGCGCGAGCAGGUGCGAAAGCAGGUCAUAGUGAUCCGGUGGUUCUGAAUGGAAGGGCCAUCGCUCAACGGAUAAAAGGUACUCCGGGGAUAACAGGCUGAUACCGCCCAAGAGUUCAUAUCGACGGCGGUGUUUGGCACCUCGAUGUCGGCUCAUCACAUCCUGGGGCUGAAGUAGGUCCCAAGGGUAUGGCUGUUCGCCAUUUAAAGUGGUACGCGAGCUGGGUUUAGAACGUCGUGAGACAGUUCGGUCCCUAUCUGCCGUGGGCGCUGGAGAACUGAGGGGGGCUGCUCCUAGUACGAGAGGACCGGAGUGGACGCAUCACUGGUGUUCGGGUUGUCAUGCCAAUGGCACUGCCCGGUAGCUAAAUGCGGAAGAGAUAAGUGCUGAAAGCAUCUAAGCACGAAACUUGCCCCG